GCCAGGACAAGGGAUGAACGAGAUCGCCAAGACAACCACCAGGCUUCCCGGGACAAAGGUGCUUCAGAGAAUUGGGACUGGAAUUGUCCAGAGACCCAUCGCCUCCUGGAGGAUGUCUUCUUCAGAGAUGAGGACUAUAUCCUUCGUGGCUCUGAGGAGCGUCAGAAGUUCUGGGCUUUCUUUGAACGCCUUCAGAGAUUCCAGAAUCUCAAGAGUUCCAAAAAAGAGGAGAAAAACUGGGCAUCCCAAGCACAGCAUCCCAGCCCUGGCUGACCUACCUCGCACUUACGACCCGCGCUUCCGCAUCAACCUGUCCAUCCUUGGCCCUGACACGCGGGAAUCUCAGCAGCCGGGCAGUCGCCUUCCUGCGGCGAGAGCGUCUGAGUUCCGCCGGGCCCUGCUGCACUACCUGGACUUCGGGCAGAAGCAGGCCUUUGCACGGCUCGCCAGGCUGCAGCGCGAGCGGGCAGCGCUCCCCGUUGCCCAGUAUGGGAACCGCAUCCUGCAGACACUGAAGGAGCAUCAGGCGGUGGUGGUGGCUGGUGACACAGGCUGUGGCAAGUCCACCCAGGUGCCCCAGUACUUGCUGGCUGCUGGCUUCAGUCACGUGGCAUGCACUCAGCCCCGGCGGAUUGCCUGCAUCUCUCUGGCCAAGCGUGUUGGCUUUGAGAGCCUCAGCCAGUACGGCUCACAGGUUGGCUACCAGAUCCGCUUUGAAAGCACGCGCUCAGCGGCCACCAGGAUCGUGUUCCUGACGGCUGCUCCUGCGCCAGAUCCAGCGGGAGCCCAGCCUGCCCUAGUACCACGUUCUGAUCGUGGAUGAGGUCCAUGAGCGGCACCUGCACAACGACUUCCUCCUGGGCAUCCUCUGGCGCUUGCUGCCCAGGCGGCCGGACCUCAAGGUCAUCCUCAUGUCUGCCACUAUCAACAUCUCGCUCUUCUCCCGCUACUUCGACCACGCGCCCGUGGUGCAGGUGCCCGGGAGGCUCUUCCCCAUCACGGUCUGCUUGGGAUAGAGUGAAACCCUACAUCAAAAAACUGAGCCUGGAAACUGGCGCGCGCUGGCCUGACCGCGGCCUCCGGGCCACCCCAGAGGAUCUGGAGCGCGGUGUCCCAGCCACCCUGCCGCCGCGCCCACCCACAAUAAACCCAGCUCAGCCAUGGCGCGUGUGUGUCGUGUUGUGUGCAGAGGCGCCCCGCCCCGGGAAGAGAAGGCCUUCCUGGGUCUGUCCAUCGUCUUCUCCCUCGUCCCCGUGGCUGCGCGGCCUUCCCCAGCGGCUCUGGUCCUUCCUCAUCGCUGCCAUGGUAUGUUUUGGGUUGGGGUGGUGAGAAGAGACUUGCCGUUUCUGUGGCCAUUGAAGGUCAGAUAGUGUCUAUCUGGGUUCGAGGACACACACGAACCAACCCUGUGAUAGCUGCAGGCAAGCUGGCCUGGGGAUGAGUUAAAGCGGUUGGGCAAACCGCCUCAGCCCCCACAGCUGCUGGGAAGGAUGCCUUUGUCUUCCUCCUGGGGUCAGAGAUGAAGCGGGGUCGGGGAAGGGUAUGCUGGGGAGGUUCUCUGAUACUCUGGGGAGCGCGCAGCACAUUGCUGCACUAUGCUGCCUUGUAGGGAGACUGAGAAACAGGUAGCUUCCGAGGAAGUCAAAGUGGUUGAACCCUUUCCCCCUUCUGGACCAUUGAGGCCUGCCACUGUGCAGACCUGGGAGCCCACCUGCAGGAAGUAGUUUGCCUGUGCGGCUUCCGUCUUGACCUGGGGACCUUUCCAGCAAUGUGAGUUCCAGUGUCUCGGAGUGAGUGCCAGCUAGCCAUCCCGGGAAUCGCGAAGCCAGCAGCAUCAUCAGGCUGUGGCUGUGAGCACUGCCUUUUGGUCCUCCUCUAUUACCCUGUGGGCCUCCGGGCAACUUAGUUCACCUCUCUGGUUCUCUAAGAUGAGGUUGAUGAUAGUGUUUUCAGAGUUAGUCAGAACAGUGUUGCAUGCCCCUGCCCCCACCCUUUUCCUCCUCAAAGGCUUUCACCAAGGUGGGUUCCCACCUUGUAUUCAAAGGCCACUCACACUUGGUUUUUGGAGACAGGAUUUGGCUAUGUAUCCAGGCUGGGUCUGAACUCUCAGCAGUCCUGUUCCAGCCUCCUCAGGUGCUAAAUUACAGGUGUGCACCACCAGCGCUUUUUCUUUGCUUCUCUUCCUUUCCUGUUUCAGUCCUUUCCUCCCCCUCCCCCCAAUGUAGAGUUUCACACUAUCCCAGGCUGACCUGGAUACUCAGGUUGUCCUUGAACUCACAACAAUCCUCCUGCCUCUGCCUGCCAAUCGAAGCCCAGCUCUUAGUCCAUACCUUACUCUUUCAUGUAAAAAGUACUUCUGUGAAUAUGCACUGUGUCUGACUAGUUGGCCCCCAAACUUCACAUUCUCCUGGCUCGGCCUCCCGUUGUCAUAGGAGUGUUGACAUCCCAUUUUCAUCUCCACGUGGAUGCUGGGGUAUUGAACCUGGACUGUCAGGCCUUGUCAGCAAGCUCCUUUUAACUGCUGAGCCCUCUCCCCAGCCACCAGAAGACGUGCUCUUGAUGGAUGCGGCCUCAGACAUGGCAAGCUCUUGACAUACUCUGCUCUUCUAUCUCCCAUCUACCACCCUUGGAAAGGGAAGCCCACAGUGGGGAGCAGGGAGUACCAUGUCGCCCAGCAAGCGGGGUGGGAGCAAAACCGCGGGGCUGGGCAUACGGUUCUGCGGUCAGACUUGGCCUGGGCCACUGGGUUAGAUAGAGAUUUGCUGGGGGAGAGAGCCGGGAGGACAAGAGGAGCGCUGGGAAGAUGCUGGUGGGUGAUCCUCCUGAGAUGGCAGCCUUUCUGCUAUGCAGCAAGCCCUUUACCCAUUGAGCCAUCUCACUAGCCCCAUUUUUCUUUUCCCUCCCUUCCCUUCCCUCCCCGUCUUCCCCUCCUUUCUUUCCCUUCUUCCUUCUUAAUAUAUAUCUA
Jaculus jaculus (lesser Egyptian jerboa) is the source of this 2965-nucleotide RNA transcript. It is a transcript of the gene named probable ATP-dependent RNA helicase DHX34, with no coding region annotated. Lineage: Eukaryota; Metazoa; Chordata; Mammalia; Rodentia; Dipodidae. The transcript is spliced from 3 exons. The record is from RefSeq and is a predicted model, not a curated record.